CCGUACUACACGGGGAGUUAGCGGUGCCUUGUAACCUGCAAUCCGCUAUAGCAGGGUGGAUGCCCAAUGGAGGGUUUGCAAUCGGUCGGUCUGACUGCGGUAAGUAGUGUUGACAGACGGGUCUUGCGCAACGAAAACCCAUGAACCUCGUCAGGUCCGGGAGGAAGCAGCGAUAAGUGGUCCCUUUCGUGUGCCGCGAGGGUGCCUGUCUCGAGCCAACUGCCCCGGUUCCGCGACGGAGCGCCGAUUCGACAUUGGGUGUACGG
This 266-nucleotide signal recognition particle RNA is filed under the name Tissierellia bacterium. RNAcentral's name for it is "signal recognition particle sRNA large type". It matches the Rfam family "Bacterial large signal recognition particle RNA". Rfam says of the family: The signal recognition particle (SRP) is a universally conserved ribonucleoprotein involved in the co-translational targeting of proteins to membranes. Archaeal SRP consists of a 7S RNA and homologues of the eukaryotic SRP19 and SRP54 proteins. Lineage: Bacteria; Bacillati; Bacillota; Tissierellia. The record is from RNAcentral.